GGAUCAGUAGUCCAGCCAGGUCAAGGCAGUCGGUUGCAAUCCGAAUGAUCGAAGGUUCAAAUCCUUCCUGAUCCU
Molecule: transfer RNA, 75 nt
Filed under: Promethearchaeota archaeon
Lineage: Archaea; Promethearchaeati; Promethearchaeota
Also listed under: 1 other name
Description: Candidatus Lokiarchaeota archaeon (marine sediment metagenome) tRNA-Cys
Rfam family: tRNA
About the family: Transfer RNA (tRNA) molecules are approximately 80 nucleotides in length. Their secondary structure includes four short double-helical elements and three loops (D, anti-codon, and T loops).
Source: RNAcentral